This 1070-nucleotide ribosomal RNA is filed under the name Campylobacter coli. RNAcentral describes it as "partial 23S ribosomal RNA". It matches the Rfam family "Bacterial large subunit ribosomal RNA", at positions 1404 to 2471 of the family's 2925-position model. Lineage: Bacteria; Pseudomonadati; Campylobacterota; Epsilonproteobacteria; Campylobacterales; Campylobacteraceae. The record is from RNAcentral.
GAGAAGCGUAGCUGAUGGGAAGCUGGUUAAUAUUCCAGCACCGAUUUCAAGUGCGAAGGGGGGACGGAGUCCUGAAGGUCAUCCGGGUGUUGGAUAUCCCGGUUUACGAGCGUAGGAGGUUGACAGGCAAAUCCGUCAACGGAUCUCCAAGGCGAAGGAUCGAGGUUGAGAGAUCAACUGAAGUGACUGAAUGGGCUUCCAGGAAAAGCCUCUAAGCAUCAGCUUGGAAUUGACCGUACCGCAAACCGACACUGGUGGGCGAGCUGAAUAUGCUCAGGCGCUUGAGAGAACUCAGGAGAAGGAACUCGGCAAAUUGACACCGUAACUUCGGGAUAAGGUGUGCCUUUGUAGUGUGAAGAGAGAAACACUCCGAGCAUGAAGAGGCCUCAGAGAAUCGGUGGCUGCAACUGUUUACUAAAAACACAGCACUCUGCAAAGAUGAAAGUCGACGUAUAGGGUGUGAUGCCUGCCCGGUGCUGGAAGAUUAAUUGAUGGGGUGCAAGCUCCUGAUCGAAGUCCCAGUAAACGGCGGCCGUAACUAUAACGGUCCUAAGGUAGCGAAAUUCCUUGUCGGGCAAGUUCCGACCUGCACGAAUGGCAUAAUGAUGGCCACACUGUCUCCUCCUGAGACUCAGUGAAGUUGAAAUGUUUGUGAUGAUGCAAUCUCCCCGCGGCUAGACGGAAAGACCCCAUGAACCUUUACUGCAGCUUUGCAUUGGACUUUGAACCGAUCUGUGUAGGAUAGGUGGGAGGCAGUGAAGCUAGGACGCCAGUCUUAGCGGAGCCAACCUUGAAAUACCACCCUGAUUUGUUUGAGGUUCUAACCUAGGAGCGUAAUCCGCUUCGGGGACCGUGCAUGGUAGGCAGUUUGACUGGGGCGGUCUCCUCCUAAAGGGUAACGGAGGAGUGCGAAGGUACGCUAGGUACGGUCGGAAAUCGUGCUGAUAGUGCAAUGGCAAAAGCGUGCUUGACUGCGAGACCGACAAGUCGAGCAGAUACGAAAGUAGGUCAUAGUGAUCCGGUGGCUCUGCAUGGAAGGGCCAUCGCUCAACGGAUAAAAGGUACUCUGG